ACACCAAAACCACAUCAGACCUGAAACCCAUCAGUUAACCAGCAACAGAAAACGCCUGAAGAUCUGUCACACACACAGACCAGGCCAAUCUCAGUCCUACAGUCCAGUUUUACUGCUGCAACUCUUUUAAUUAUUUAUUGACAAUAAAUUGACAAUUUAUUAGUUGUUGUUCACUUAGUUUUUAUAUAAUCACUGCUGAUCUGUAUGUUGAACUGUGUGUGUCUGUCAUUGUUAUUUUGCACUUAAGUUGCACUUUGACUUUUGUUGCACAACAGUGCAAUGACAAUGAAGAACUGAACUGAAGACCUUCAAGACCUUCACAAACACUUUAACUGCAUUAAAACUGGAGGAGGGAAACUCCAAUCUCCUCUGAGCUUCAGCAGCUCAGGAACUAAAUGUGAUGUUAAAACAAUUAGUUCUCAAAAACAGCUUCUCUCUGGACCACCUGAAUCUAACAAACCAGGUCCAACAGUCACCUGCAGGUAGGGCUGGGUACCGAACUUUUAUAGGCACCGACCGAAAUGCUUCGAUACUACCAGGUAUCGAAAGAUGCCUUGUUUUUCAGUGCCAAUUUUCGAUAACGAGGAAGUUAAUCACGUGAUCAAGAUCUGAUAAUACUGCCGUGAUUGGUUGUAACGUUACAUGCAGUAGAGGCAUGCAGGGGAAAAAAACUUACGUGGUUAGGCCCACAGACAAGGUUGACCUGUAUCUGUGUUGUUACAGUGUGUGCGCAUCGAAGCGGUUAAAAAAAUGCGACCGAGGUCAAAAGUGUGUCUCCAUUUUAGCAAGAUUGAUGCCAAUAGUGCGCGAUGCAAUAUUUGCAAAAAGGACGUCGUGGACAACCCGACCAAUUUGAUGAAGCAUUUGAACGUGCACGGAAUCAAGUUAAGCAGAGAGUUGCCUCGUGUUCAACUGCACAGUCCUUAGUAGGCAACAGUGAGCAUUAGACACUGACUUGUAACUUGUUCUUUCGCAUUGAAAAUUAUUUGUUGUAUAUUUUAGAAAACUGCUUUGAGUGGGAAAAUGCCAAAGCUGAACAGAAAAGCUGUAUCUGAAUAUCCCCAACGUCAUUGUUGAGAUAAAAUCAAUUAACAGUAAUUACAACAAUAAUGAACUUAUGAUCAUCAUCUGUCCUGACUCAAACUGCGCACUCAGAGGUUCCUAUUGUUCUGCAGCUCAUUUGUAUCACAUUUGUGUCACAUCAACAACAACAACGACGACGACGACAACAGCAGGGUGGGAGUCAGCCCUAACUUUAACCCCAGAACGCCAUCCUCAGGUUCUGAUCCGGGUCUAUAAUCAGGUUCUAUAAUCAGCGUAUGGAUAAGGUCUGUGACAGGUUCUGAUCCAGGUGUUCCCCACCUCCUUAGUAGGUGUCGUCAUGUCUCACAAGAGCAGAAUGUGGUCUGUCAGUCUGACUCUGUGGUCCUACAGGAUGUGGGAGACCAGUGUGAUCAGGACCAGGACUGUGGGGACCCAGCUGCCAGAGCAGAGAUUUGUAUCCAGGACAGGGAUCCAGAUAGGAGGACCACAUCAGGACAGACCAGACCAGAGGGACAGUCCAUCAGAAGGUUCACCUCAGCCUCAGAGAGACCUCCACCUGACACCUGGGUCCAGCCUGAGACAGAGGAAGAUGAUCAGACUAAGGUUUAUCUCAGGAGACAGUCAGUGAGAAGACAGGAUGUUUGGAUCAGUCUUUACGGUGACAGUAAACUGAUGUUUGAUUCUUUAUGGCACAGUCUGCUCUCCUUGUAAUUACUGAUUACUGAUGAUAAAACUUUUGUGUUUUGAACUCUACCUUCUAGUUUUUCACAGUGAGUUAUAUGAGAACAGUUUGUAUUAACCACAGUGUUCAGAUGAGCGUCUGCAGACUAAUCACAUUAAUAUCAUGUUGUACAUCAGGAGGAUGAAGUAAACACUUACUUAGAUUUGAUCAUUACAUUCAAACACUCCCUCACUUCUCUAAUUAUUCUCAAACUUCUUUAACCAGGCUAAGCUUUUGAUUACAACAGGAUGAUUUUCUCAUGUUUUAUAUCUGAGUUAUCUUCAGUGUGACACCUGUCAUGAGAAUAGACUCUUUAUUUAUCCUCUGAGCAGCUUGUUCUAUCUGUGCUAUAUGAAGGAGAGUCUUUUUAUAUAUAUAUAUAUUAUUUUGGGGCUUUUAUGCCUUUAUUGACAGGACAGUGAAGAGAAGACAGGAAUCGGGGAGAGAGAGUACGGGAAUGACAUGCAGUAAAUGUCCGACCGGUUCGGGAGUCAAACCAGGGACCAGCUGCUCAGGACACUGAGGCCCAUGUGGUACACACCCUAACCAUUCAUGCUAUCAGGUCACUGAUAUGAAAGAGAGUCUUGUGGCUUUAACUCAAUGCCACAACUCUCACUGACAGAUUACUGAGGUUUGACACGUCUGUUCUUUUAAUAAAGGAGAGUAAGAGCAG
Lates calcarifer (barramundi perch) is the source of this 2438-nucleotide long non-coding RNA. RefSeq lists it as uncharacterized. The record is from RefSeq and is a predicted model, not a curated record. Lineage: Eukaryota; Metazoa; Chordata; Actinopteri; Centropomidae. The transcript is spliced from 4 exons.